This 91-nucleotide non-coding RNA is filed under the name Jeotgalicoccus saudimassiliensis. RNAcentral describes it as "TPP riboswitch aptamer (THI element)". It matches the Rfam family "TPP riboswitch aptamer (THI element)". From Rfam's summary of the family: Vitamin B(1) in its active form thiamin pyrophosphate (TPP) is an essential coenzyme that is synthesised by coupling of pyrimidine and thiazole moieties in bacteria. The previously detected thiamin-regulatory element, thi box was extended, resulting in a new, highly conserved RNA secondary structure, the THI element, which is widely distributed in eubacteria and also occurs in some archaea. RNAcentral also lists the same sequence under 1 other name. The record is from Rfam by way of RNAcentral. Lineage: Bacteria; Bacillati; Bacillota; Bacilli; Caryophanales; Staphylococcaceae.
CACCACCACUGGGGGUGUCCGUACGGACUGAGAUUGACCCUUAUCACCUGAUCUAGAUCAUACUAGCGUAGGGAAGUGGCAUAUUUUUAUA